UGGAGAAUGGCUGGGCAUGCACCAACGAAACAGGGCAGGGAGGACGCCGUGCCUGUUGUCCUGGGCAGGCAGGCACAGCCCUGAGGGUGAGCAAGGUCUGGCCUCCUCACUCAAAGCCAAGGGAUCAAUGCAGAAGUCCUCCACAGCAGACCUGUGUAUUUUGUGCGGCUGCCAGUCCUGGAGCAAUGUGGAUCAUCUCAUCCUAGAGGUGGCUGCUACCCAGUCACAUGAGGUCCCACGGUGCUGCAGAUGGGCAGUGAAGCCCAGGGUGAAGAAGGACCAACAGGUGCUGCAAGGUCCAUGUGUGGUGACUUGUCUUCUACUUGAUGUCUUACUCCCCCCUUUCUUUCCCACCCCUCUUUUCUGG
Molecule: long non-coding RNA, 367 nt
Organism: Motacilla alba alba
Lineage: Eukaryota; Metazoa; Chordata; Aves; Passeriformes; Motacillidae
Exons: 3
Source: RefSeq, a predicted model, not a curated record